This 201-nucleotide long non-coding RNA is filed under the name Anser brachyrhynchus (Pink-footed goose). RNAcentral's name for it is "lncRNA (ENSABRG00000000046.1)". The record is from RNAcentral. Lineage: Eukaryota; Metazoa; Chordata; Aves; Anseriformes; Anatidae.
UCUGCUAACAGCAAACUUGCUGCCACGUGAUGAUACAACCCAGCAACACAUAAGUGAAUUUGGCAAAAACUAAGGAAUCCAGAGCAAAAAGGGAGAGGUGGCAGGCAUCACCGCUGGUCUCUGAGCAGGGAGCAUCAAGUCGUUCUGCAGGUUGCUGGGGAGGGGACAGAGGAGGCUCUUUCCCCCUGCACCAGUAAAUGA